RNAcentral lists this ribosomal RNA (334 nucleotides) under uncultured bacterium. Its description in RNAcentral is "bacterial SSU rRNA". It matches the Rfam family "Bacterial small subunit ribosomal RNA", at positions 568 to 898 of the family's 1533-position model. The record is from RNAcentral.
UGCGCAGGCGGCUUUUCAAGUCGGAUGUAAAAUCUCCUGGCUCAACUGGGAGGGACCAUCCGAUACUGUUAGGCUCGAGUGCAACAGAGGAGAGUGGAAUUCCCGGUGUAAUGGUGGAAUGUGUAGAUAUCGGGAGGAACACCAGUGGCGAAAGCGGCUCUCUGGGUUGUUACUGACGCUGAUGCACGAAAGCGUGGGAGCAAACAGGAUCAGAUACCCUGGUAGUCCACGCUGUAAACUAUGGACACUGGGUACGAGGGAGUAUCGACCCUCUCUGUGCCGAAGCUAACGCGUUAAGUGUCCCGUCGUGGGGACUACGGCCGCAAAGGUUAAA